AAUAAAUAAAUAAAUAAAAAAGGAGAUCCCAAAGAACUCUCUGGCUCUUUCUGCCAUGUGAGGAUACAAGGAACAGCGGGCAGUCUGCAAUGUGGAAGAGGGGCUGCACCAGAAGUGGAGCAUGCUGGCACCCUGAUCUUGAAUUUUCAGCCUCCAGACUGUGAGAAAUAAAUUUCUGUUGCUUCUAAGCUACCCAGGCUAUGGGAUUCUGUUAUAGCAACCUGAACUGAAUACAACACUGUGCACUAUCACUUCUUUCUUAUUUGUUAAAAGCAGGAACCUAAGUCCUGCCUGCACUUGAGUAGAAUUAGGCUCUUCCUUUUGAAGAAAAGAAUGUCAAAUAAUUUGUGGAAAUAUUUUAAACAUAACAUAAACAUACCACGAUUCCAUUCUUGUGUAUUUAUUCAAAAGAAAGCAAGCACACGUUCACAAAAAAAGGAUAUAUGUGAGAAUGAGCAUAGAAGUUUUGUUUUAAAACAGUAAAGAGCUUAGGCAUCCAUCAACAGAGAAUGGGUAAACACACUGGUAUAUUCAUACAAUAUCACGCAGAAGCAAAAAGAAACUACUGAUUGUGCAAAUAUACAAGAAUGCUAAAAAUGAUUCUCAAUAAAACAAGCCUAACACAUUUUAUUUCCUAUGUCUGAACCCAUAUAUAUGAAGUUCUAAAACAGCUAAUUUGUACUAUAUAAACAAAAUCAGAAAAGUGGUUGCCUCUAGACUUGAGAGAUGAGAACAUACUGUGAAGUACCAUGGGGGAAUUUUCUGUGGGCAUUACGGACACUCUGUAACUUGACAGGAAUAUGUUACACUAACACUAGUAUCUACAUUUAUUAAAACCCAUAGAAUAGUAUGCUUAAUAUUUAUGCUUGUCACUGUAUAUAAAUUGUACCCAAAAUGUAAAUAUUAAACACUUGAUAAGCAUUCUCACAAGUUACAUGUGAAAUAUGCUGCUAUCUGAAACUUACUAUGACAUAUAGAAAAAUAAGACAAACUAAUGGAUGCAUAGAGAGAUGGGGGUUGGAUGGAUAUAUAUGUAAUAAAGCAGGUCUAGCAAAAUAUUAAUAAUGGAACCUAUGUAGUACCUAUAUGGGUGCUCAUUGUCCAGUUGCUUCCUCUUUUCCAUAUGUUUAAACAUGAUUACCAUAAAAUGUUGGGGAAAUGUACUUGAAUAAUUUGGUUUGACCUCUUGUGAUUCUGCCACCGCUAUGAGGAGAGCAUGUCCAGGUUCACCUGCUGGUCUAAGGAAGAAGAGGGACAUCUGGAGCAGAUCUGAUCCCAAACAGUAGUGUGGAGGCCAGCCUGGCCAAUCCUUGAUAGAGUGGCCAAUCCCCAUAUGCACUGCAGAUGGGGACCUCCAAGGCAUGUCCAUCUCGAUGAGCUCAGGCCCGACAGUCUGGAGCCCAGAAGGCUGCUGCUUUUCAAGGGUGAUCAUUCAUCAAGACCCGAAGUCUCCUAGCCAAC
This 1461-nucleotide long non-coding RNA is filed under the name Homo sapiens (human). Its description in RNAcentral is "HSALNT0102625". The record is from RNAcentral. Lineage: Eukaryota; Metazoa; Chordata; Mammalia; Primates; Hominidae.